RNAcentral lists this long non-coding RNA (852 nucleotides) under Helianthus annuus (common sunflower). Its description in RNAcentral is "hypothetical non coding rna". The record is from RNAcentral. Lineage: Eukaryota; Viridiplantae; Streptophyta; Magnoliopsida; Asterales; Asteraceae.
CCCAAAUCACGUUUCACUUUGCUUCUCUAAAAUUAGGGCAACUCCAUCUUUGGUUAUUUUAAUUAAGGAUAUGUGAUUCGUCCUUUGCUUAAAACUAGGGUUAAACUACAUGGGAUUGAUAAAACGAACGGCGAAGUUGCUGUUCAGGAGUCGAAAUAACAUAGUGUGGUGAACAAGUCGAUCAAAAUUGAAGCUUGUAACAACAAUUCGUUGGAAUCUAUGGUGGUUAUAUUGGUAAAAGGAACAAUUAAGUGGUCAAACCUAUACACUGUAGAAAGUGGUUAGUUACUUGCUGCUCAUGAACAGCGGCCAGGCUACCUAGCGUUUUUGUGGCAUAGAUGGGCUAAUUUUAAGAUGAAGAUGCUAUUUUUAGCCAAUAAUGUUGUACAAAAAGAGAAGGAUCACUAGAGGUCCAUAGUAUUGGUAUUGGUACUUUAGUCCACAACAACUCUUUACCGGUUAACGAAAUAUCAUCUUCAAGAAGAUAUAAUAUUAAUGGACAAGAAAGACUUUUGGACAAUUGAUCUUUAAAAGUUUGUUGACAUUGUAGUUAAGGGUAGAUAUCCUAAGAAGCUUUGGAGCUAUGUUUUAUAACAAUGAAAUUCUCACCUAAAAGAAUGUUUAGACUCCUCGUAUAUGAUAAUGGCAGGGUAGAUAUCCUAAGAAGCUUUGGAGCUAUGUUUUAUAACAAUGAAAUUCUCACCCAAAAGAAUGUUUAGACUCCUCGUAUAUGAUAAUGGUAGGGUAGAUAUCCUAAGAAGCUUUGGAGCUAUGUUUUAUAACAAUGAAAUUCUCACCCAAAAGAAUGUUUAGACUCCUCGUGUAUACAUUAGAAAUUUGGAAUAUGUUUCG